AUGCACCUGCUUCGGCACGGUUUCAUGCGAAGCUAUAAUUGUUGGACCAAGCAUGGAGAAAGAGGGGUUAGAAUGGAAGAAGAUGAAGAAGGGGAUGAUAUCGAUGACAACUAUCAUGAUCAUUUCGGUGAUACUUUCAUGGAGGAUGAUGCUGAAGGUGGGGAAGGGUUAGGUGAAGGUGAAGAAGAGGCACAUGAUGAGCCCGCUGAUGAUCUUGGUCGGACCAUUGCUGAUGCACGGAGACGCUGCGAAACUGACAAGGAUAGGGAGAAUUUGGAUCGCAUGUUAGAGGAUCACAAAAAGUCGUUGUAUCCAGGAUGCGAUAAUAGUCUGAAAAAGCUGGGCUGCACA
RNAcentral lists this ribosomal RNA (351 nucleotides) under Triticum aestivum (bread wheat). RNAcentral describes it as "partial small subunit ribosomal RNA". The record is from RNAcentral. Lineage: Eukaryota; Viridiplantae; Streptophyta; Magnoliopsida; Poales; Poaceae.